This 477-nucleotide ribosomal RNA is filed under the name uncultured anaerobic ammonium-oxidizing bacterium. RNAcentral describes it as "bacterial SSU rRNA". It matches the Rfam family "Bacterial small subunit ribosomal RNA", at positions 365 to 832 of the family's 1533-position model. The record is from RNAcentral.
UUCGCAAUGCCCGAAAGGGUGACGAAGCGACGCCGCGUGGGUGAGGAAGGCCCUCGGGUUGUAAAGCCCUGUCAGGAGUUAAGAAAUGUAAGUGUGUUAAUACCACAUUUAUUUGACGAAGGCUCCAAAGGAAGCCACGGCUAACUCUGUGCCAGCAGCCGCGGUAAUACAGAGGUGGCAAGCGUUGUUCGGAAUUAUUGGGCGUAAAGAGCACGUAGGUGGGUUUGUAAGUCAGAUGUGAAAGCCUUCUGUUCAACGGAAGAAUUGCAUCUGAAACUGCGAAUCUUGAGUGUAGGAGGGGAGAAUGGAACUUCUGGUGGAGCGGUGAAAUGCGUAGAUAUCAGAAGGAACGCCGGCGGCGAAAGCGAUUCUCUGGCCUAUUACUGACACUGAGUGUGCGAAAGUUAGGGGAGCAAACGGGAUUAGAUACCCCGGUAGUCCUAACUGUAAACGAUGGGCACUAAGUAGAGGGGUUUU